CUGGAACGCGCCCCAGGCGCACCCAGAAACCCUUUGUGAACUUAUACCUUACUGUUGCCUCGGCGCAUGCCGGCCCCCCUGGGGGCCCCUCUCCUGGAGGAGCAGGCACGCCGGCGGCCAACCCAACUCUUGUUUUUACACUGAAACUCUGAGAAUAAAACAUAAAUGAAUCAAAACUUUCAACAACGGAUCUCUUGGUUCUGGCAUCGAUGAAGAACGCAGCGAAAUGCGAUAAGUAAUGUGAAUUGCAGAAUUCAGUGAAUCAUCGAAUCUUUGAACGCACAUUGCGCCCUCUGGUAUUCCGGAGGGCAUGCCUGUUCGAGCGUCAUUUCAACCCUCAAGCCUGGCUUGGUGAUGGGGCACUGCCUGUAAAAGGGCAGGCCUUGAAAUUCAGUGGCGAGCUCGCCAGGACCCCGAGCGCAGUAGUUAAACCCUCGCUUUGGAAGGCCCUGGCGGUGCCCUGCCGUUAAACCCCCAACUUCUGAAAAU
Molecule: ribosomal RNA, 489 nt
Filed under: Diaporthe sp. Pcs006
Lineage: Eukaryota; Fungi; Ascomycota; Sordariomycetes; Diaporthales; Diaporthaceae
Description: eukaryotic LSU rRNA
Rfam family: 5.8S ribosomal RNA (bases 175-328)
Source: RNAcentral